RNAcentral lists this long non-coding RNA (1253 nucleotides) under Bos taurus (domestic cattle). Its description in RNAcentral is "long non-coding RNA NONBTAT027006". Lineage: Eukaryota; Metazoa; Chordata; Mammalia; Artiodactyla; Bovidae. The record is from RNAcentral.
UGGAAGAGCUGCAUACAAGGGAGAAACAUAAAGUCAGUAUUGUGCUGUAGAGAAUAUUAAACCCUUAUUUUGUGUUUAGGAUGUAUUUUAUUAUGUGUACAGGUGUUUUUGCUUGUAUUUUAUUGGCAAUUUAGAUUUACCCUGUGUUACUUAGUUUUCUAUUAUCACUUCUAGUAAGAUGAAAUUAAGGGCAGGACCUAGACCUACAUAGAAAUCAUGAAAGAAGUCCUUGUAGCUUUUAACACUUUUAAGGAAACAGCUUUGAAAAAUUUGGCUUUGUGAUCGUCGUCAUCACAAAGUAAUGACGUAAGGAGUAAUCUAAACCUCCUAAGAUAUUUAGGCUUCUGUACAUAAGAGUGCUUUGCUAAAUGUGUGCCCUAUGUAGAUCUUUCCUCCACAUUAUUUUACCAAGAAUGUUUUGACCCUGCAUCUGUGCUAUAGUUCAUGGUAGGGGUGGUACAACUCCAACAUUGGUUUUUCUACUUCCCUUAACAAAUGGUUUGUCUAAAGAUUCUUUUCAAAUUACAAAUAUGACACUAAUUCUUGUGUUUGCAAGUGACUUUUUUCUUGUUGAGGUAGUAACAGUCCCAUCUGGUGCUGUUGCACUCUAGAAGAUCUCAAAUCACGAUGAUUAAAAUAGUUGGGGUAAACUUGUAGUUCAUAUGCAACACUACUUGGAGGAAUUAUUUUACUUGCUUGUCUUUAAUGUAAAAAUUAAUUUGAUUAUAUUUCACAUGAAUUUGGAAUGGAAGUGGUCGUUAAGAAAAAAAAAAAUUUUUGUUACGCUAUUUGAUUAUAUUUCACAUGAAUUUGGAAUGGAAGUGGUCGUUAAGAAAAAAAAAAUUUUUGUUACGCUGUUUGAUUCCUAUAAUACAGUGCUAUAAGGUGUGCCCUGAAAGAAAAUAAAGUGUUUGAAAUCUAAGAAUAAUGAUUCUUACUGCAAAGAGGGUGUAAUAGUUACCACUAUUGAGUUUGACAGGCUUGUGUUUUUAUACAAUGUUUAUUCCAGUUAGAGUAUAAAUAAGUUGUAUUACUAAGGUGGUUAAAUAACCAAACCAAAUGUUUGUGUAAAAAAAGAGAUUUGCCAAGAAUUAAUUGUUUGACUGUUGAAUCUUUCUUGAACAUCCAGCUUCUCAAAGAGACCACCUCUUAAGGAGCCUGUAAACUAUGCAUGAUGAAAAUUCUUGUAUUUUAUUAAGGAAGUGGCCAUUGGUUUACUCACCACAUCCAUGGAAUUGUGGCUAUAAACAUGA